Molecule: ribosomal RNA, 549 nt
Filed under: uncultured fungus
Lineage: Eukaryota; Fungi
Description: eukaryotic LSU rRNA
Rfam family: 5.8S ribosomal RNA (bases 122-275)
Source: RNAcentral
CCUGCUCAUUCCACGAACACUUGUGAACGCAUAGUAGCUCCAUCGCAAGUUGUUGAUAUGUUUUUUAUACACUCCAAUAACAACAUCUGAAUGUUCUUGUUGCUCUAAUGCAAUUAAAUACAACUUUCAACAACGGAUCUUUUGGCUCUCGCAUCGAUGAAGAACGCAGCGAAAUGCGAUAAGUAAUGUGAAUUGCAGAAUUCAGUGAAUCAUAGAAUCUUUGACCGCAUCUUGCGCUCCUUGGUAUUCCGAGGAGCAUCCCUGUUUGAGUGUCAUGAAUAUCUCAAGCCCUCUGAUCUUAAUGGUCAAGCAUGUCUUUGGACUUGGGAUCAUUGCUGGCGAAAGCCUGCUAUCCUUAAAUGUAUUAGCUGGAUUAUUUCCUUGUGCCACCCAGUGUGAUAAUAUCUACAUUGCUGUGGAUCACGGCGAGUGCUUACCCUGUUCAUUCAGAGUUGUAACCUCGAUAAAAGAUAGUCUGCUUCCAAUGGUCUAGGUGCAUGGACAAAAUAGCCUUUGACAUCUGACCUCAAAUCAGGUAGGACUACCCGC